This 303-nucleotide signal recognition particle RNA is filed under the name Prunus persica (peach). RNAcentral describes it as "SRP RNA Plant_SRP". It matches the Rfam family "Plant signal recognition particle RNA". The record is from Rfam by way of RNAcentral. Lineage: Eukaryota; Viridiplantae; Streptophyta; Magnoliopsida; Rosales; Rosaceae.
GCCGAGCUUAGUAACUCAAGCUUAUUACCCAAGUGGGGGCACAAAAGUGUUGGAACGCUGUCCCAGCUAUAGCGGGUCGGGUCAUGCUUGGCAAUGUUCUGGCCCGCCCGUUCCAAGCAAGGAGUCGGGUCAUGUGUCUUGAGCGAAGGCUCUGGUCACAUGGUCCUUAGACAGGAGGGCAAAGCGUGAGGCUGGUUUCACAGAGCAGCGAUAACCUCCCUCUCCUUGCAGUGGAAGGAUAACGGGUCGGAGCCAACUUGAAGUCUACAAUAAUCUAUCUUUCUUGUCAAUUACUUCAUCUUU